Non-coding RNA from Erythranthe guttata (spotted monkey flower), 499 nucleotides. NCBI's taxonomy places the organism in Eukaryota, Viridiplantae, Streptophyta, Magnoliopsida, Lamiales, Phrymaceae. The record is from RefSeq and is a predicted model, not a curated record.
UUAGAUACUGUAAUAAUACAAUUUUUUGUCUUGGGGGUACUUUGUGUACAAAUAUACACCACUGAAUUUGAUAUUGGUGGUUUUUGGACCUGGGCAUGGCAGAGCUAAUGUUGUUUAUUGCAAUUUUUUUAUGUUGAAUUCUGAAAUUUACUAAUUCUUUUUUUUUUUUUUUUUUUUUUUUUUGUUUCAGCUCUGUUGGGAUAUUUCUUUUUACCUAUUAUUCACCUACUUAAGGUUGCUCUAUUAUUAAUAUUUUUUUUCAACAUCAUUCUCUCUCUUUUAGUUUACGUUUCUCACUCACUUACUAUGUUCACAGUCACAUUUAUUUCCUUCCUGUCUUUGCUCUUUAUGUCGUGGAUUUGCAGCAUUGUUUCGAGAACAGACGACUAGACACUGUUGAUGCAACAUCUAGGCAACAAAGCACUAUCGGAACCCGCACAAUUUUGUGCCAUGCGUUGUUGUUUUGCUUCUUUUAGUGGUUGUGUGCAGCUGCUGUUGC